GCUUUUAUGAGCUGUAACACUCACCGCGAAGGUCCGCAGCUUCACUCCUGAAGCCAGCGAGACCACGAGCCUACUGGGAGGAACGAACAACUCCCGACGCGCCGCCUUAAGAGCUGUAACACUCACCGCGAAGGUCUGCAGCUUCACUCCUGAGCCAGCGAGACCACGAACCCACCAGAAGGAAAAAACUCCGAACACAUCUGAACAUCAGAAGCAACAAACUCCGGACACGCCGCCUUUAAGAACUGUAACACUCACUGCGAGGGUCCGCGGCUUCAUUCUUGAAGUGAGUGAGACCAAGAACCCACCAGUUCUGGACACAAUUUCAAGUCCUCAGGUGCCAUCAAUAUUCUGAAAAUGGCAGUGAUUUUUAUUCAACCUGUAUAAGGCACUUUCACCAUGUACCUGGAAGCAACAUCUACAUCUUUUUCAGUUUUCCUCUGUCCACUAUGAAGGACUUUGUGACCACAUUCUGACUCUGAUGAGAUCCUGCCCAGAAUUGACCUGAACCCCAAUAAUUCACCUUUCUCUCAGCAAUCUAGAUGCUGGGGACACAAGGUCCACCUUCCAGGAAUAUGGCCAUGACACCAGAAAUCACAAACAUGAUGAGAAUGGAAUGACUGGGGAAGAAGUGCCAGAUGCUUCACUUGUAAAUGAAGACCCAGCCUCUGGGGAUGCAGAUACCACCUCCCUGAAGAAGCUGAAUAUCUGCAGAUAAGUGGAGUUCACCAAUGAUGAGGAGCGGGAUGGAGAAAGGAGGUAGGGAGAGUCAUCCAAGGAACAUGAGCAACAUGUUAAAAGAAUUGAACCAGAGUCCGGUGAAUAUCAGCACUGGGACCAGUUAGCAGAGGAAAAGGAAAGAAUAAAAGCGAAAAGAAUGAAGAGUCAUAUGAUUACCAACUUUUCCUUUUUCAUAUAAAUUGAGUGUAUAUGGGUCUGGAACAACCUGAAUUUCCAUCAAGUCCUGGCUAACCUCAUUAUGUCCUAUGAAUAUUUUUGACUAAUCCCACUUUACAUUAAUCUGUAUUGUGAAUGUGGAUAUUGAAUUAUAUUUCUUUGUAAUCCCAUUAUCCAAAAUCCAGUUCAGAGACUAUUAGUUACCAAUGUUCACUGUGAAGGAAAAAAAAAAAAAAAAAGCUCAGAGGAUAAACAUGUGAUAUGGUUUGGCUGUGUCCCCACCCAAAUAUCAUCUUGAAUUGUAGCUCCCAUAAUUCCCACGUGUUGUGGGAGGGACCCGGUGGGAGAUAAUUGUAUCAUGGGGGUGGUUCCCCCAUACUAUUCUCAUAGUAGUGAAUAAGUCUCACAAAAUCUGAUGGUUUUAUGAGGGAAAACCCCUUUCACCUGGUUCUCAUUCUCUUCUCUGGUCUGUCGUCAUGUAAGACAUGCCUUUCACCUUCUCCACCAUGACUGUGAGGCCUCCCCAGCCACGUGGAACUGUGAGCCCAUUAAACCUCUUUCACUUAUAAAU
RNAcentral lists this long non-coding RNA (1468 nucleotides) under Homo sapiens (human). Its description in RNAcentral is "non-protein coding SCHLAP1:2". Lineage: Eukaryota; Metazoa; Chordata; Mammalia; Primates; Hominidae. The record is from RNAcentral.